CAGCCGCCGCGGGAAUACGAAGGGGGCUAGCGUUGUUCGGAAUUACUGGGCGUAAAGCGCGUGUAGGCGGGUCCUUAAGUCAGGGGUGAAAUGCCAAGGCUCAACCUUGGAACUGCCUUUGAUACUGGGGAUCAUGAGUCCGGGAGAGGUGAGUGGAACUGCGAGUGUAGAGGUGAAAUUCGUAGAUAUUCGCAAGAACACCAGUGGCGAAGGCGGCUCACUGGCCCGGAACUGACGCUGAGACGCGAAAGCGUGGGGAGCAAACAGGAUUAGAUACCCCAGUAGUCCCUGUCUCUUAUAC
RNAcentral lists this ribosomal RNA (301 nucleotides) under uncultured bacterium. RNAcentral describes it as "partial 16S ribosomal RNA". It matches the Rfam family "Bacterial small subunit ribosomal RNA", at positions 509 to 807 of the family's 1533-position model. The record is from RNAcentral.